Molecule: long non-coding RNA, 1127 nt
Filed under: Equus caballus (horse)
Lineage: Eukaryota; Metazoa; Chordata; Mammalia; Perissodactyla; Equidae
Description: lncRNA (ENSECAG00000053863.1)
Source: RNAcentral
UCUCAUCUCAAUGUGGAUUGGCUGUUCUCCACCUGUCUUCAAACUCUCAAACUCAGGAAGUGAUAACAAGGAGAGCCAGCUGCGGGCUGGGCUGGCAGUGAGGAGGAAGUCAUGGGGUCUGAGAAAGGGAAAUUUGAAGCCGGAAAAUAGAAACUUCAGGUGGGGCUUCUCUUCAAAUGCAGUUUCUGCCUUCUUUCUUUUUGCAAACUUACCCUGUGUCUGCCCGUGGACAUGGGCAGUGACAGCGGAUGCCUGACGGCGUGGAGGCCCAGACCCUUGUCCCGAGGGGCUCAGGACCUUGCCCUGGGCUAACUGGCAGAACGGAAGAGAAUGGUAUUUCUUGCACACCCAGGGAGGUGUUUUGACCUGAAUGGUAAUGAUGUGCCGGGCCUCCUUUGGUGUCUUCCCACAGCCGGCCCACGAGCCACAGGCCGGCUCCACACACCCCUCCCUGCUCCCGGUGCUCAGCGAGGACAAAGGUGAAGCCGAGGGCAGCGGCCAGCUGGCCCGGAGCAUGGUCUCCUUUGGCUCUUCCAGGGGCAGCCCGCGGCGGCGAAGAGAGCAGAGGGACCCGGGCCAGAUCCUGGACCACAACCUGGGCUGACGGCACCUGGCAGGGCCGUAGCGAAGACAACCAGGGGCCGCGGAGAAGAUGCCUGCGUGGGGCAGGCCCUGGGGGCUGAGAGCUGUGACGGCUUUAGUGCAAAGUGAAGGGACUCGUUUUACAGAUGGGGAAACUGAGCCCCAAGGGCAGGCUUGACCGAGGUCACACAGUCACAGGCAGGGAUUCGGGCUCUCCAGGGACUCUCAUCGGCACCAUCUCACCGGUGUUCACAGUCACUCUGAACCAUCCUGUGGACAAAUUUCCUCUCUGAGCCUCAGUUUCCUCAUUCAUGAAUGGGAGUCAUUAAUACCCGUCUGAUGGAGCAAUUAUGGGGAUCACACGAGACAUAACCGCGGAGCGGACAGCCCCAGGCCUGCAGAACGUGGUCCUCCCAGUGCUGAACGGCACCGUCCAGCCUGCUGCGUGGCUUCAUCAAGAAUCGUGUCCACGCAGAGGCCUCCAGUGAUGCCUGCAGCCACACCGUCCACCCCUGCCGGGAGUGCUGUGGGCUCCGCAGUGGCCU